Phrynosoma platyrhinos (Desert horned lizard) is the source of this 72-nucleotide non-coding RNA. The record is from the annotation of a GenBank genome assembly. Lineage: Eukaryota; Metazoa; Chordata; Lepidosauria; Squamata; Phrynosomatidae.
GCAAGGGUGGCAUAGUGGAUUGAGUGUUGGACUACGGUUCUAGAGACCUGGGUUUGAAUCCUCGCUCAGCCA